RNAcentral lists this ribosomal RNA (317 nucleotides) under uncultured bacterium. RNAcentral's name for it is "bacterial SSU rRNA". It matches the Rfam family "Bacterial small subunit ribosomal RNA", at positions 29 to 359 of the family's 1533-position model. The record is from RNAcentral.
AAUGAACGUUGGCGGCGUGGAUUAGGCAUGCAAGUCGCGCGACAAGGAACCUUCGGGUUCUGGAGGAGCGGCAAACGGGGUAGUAAGGCAUCGGAACGUACCCUCUUGUUGGGAAUAGCCGCGGGAAACUGCGAGUAAUGCCCAAUAAUCCCUACGGGGCAAAGGUCCGCCGCAGGAGGAGCGGCCGAUGUGAUACCAGCUAGUUGGUGAGGUAAUGGCUCACCAAGGCUUAGACGUCUAGGGGGUGUGAGAGCAUGGCCCCCACCACUGGGACGUGAGAUACUGCCCACGACACCUACGGGUGGGCUGCAGUCGAG